GAUUUCUGGCUUGAUAUAUUUUGCCGGCCACGGUUUCGUGUGUUAGUGCUUGAUAUUCUGGCCAUCCUUCCAAUGGCUAUUCAUCCUUCUUCAUUGAAGGUGUGAGUGGUAUUGGAUCUUUUACUUUGAAAAAAUUAGAGUGUUUCAAGCAGGCUUUAUGCUAUGAAUACAUUAGCAUGGAAUAAUAAUUUAGGACUUCGGUUCUAUUUUGUUGGUUUCUAGGACUGAAGUAAUGAUUGAUAGGGAUAGUUGGGGGUGCUAGUAUUCAGCGGCCAGAGGUGAAAUUCUUGGAUUCGCUGAAGACUAACUUAUGCGAAAGCAUU
RNAcentral lists this ribosomal RNA (323 nucleotides) under Sandonidae sp. RNAcentral's name for it is "SSU rRNA". The stretch from base 62 to 323 matches the Rfam family "Eukaryotic small subunit ribosomal RNA", at positions 693 to 955 of the family's 1831-position model. RNAcentral also lists the same sequence under 1 other name. The record is from RNAcentral. Lineage: Eukaryota; Cercozoa; Glissomonadida; Sandonidae.